GUAAAAUUCCUUUCCAAGAGCUCAAAUCUCAGCAGUUAUUUUAGUUUUCUGUUUUUUGAGGAAAACUGACACUACACUAAAGAUGAGGAGACAGAAGAAAUUAAUGGAAUGCAACUGCUUUGUACCCACUUAUGGUGGUGCUGAGUUUGGGUGAUUAGGAAACAGUUUUCUGUUUCCUGUGUCCAUUCAGAAAGUAGGAAGAUAAAUGUUCUAGACACUCAAUGUAAACUUUCUCUCAUGGCUGAUAAAAUUAAUAUCUUCUGUUCUUUUUAACAGAUCUUCUAGUAAUUCAUAGUUUCCAGCAUAUAAAGCCUUUUUUCACAUGCUGAGAAAUGAGAAGGCACAUUACUAGUUGGAGCAAUGGCAAUCAGCAAUGAAAUCAGUUCUUCUUCUCCUGACCUGUUUCCUCAUCACUGGCCUGACCCUUGGACAUGCCACCAGAAAGAGAUUUACCCACUUAAGCAUUUCUCUAUGAUCUGCAUCUGUUGCUGGAGAUGAUCAUGUGUAUCUGCCUUUUUUUGAGAACU
Molecule: long non-coding RNA, 527 nt
Filed under: Parus major (Great Tit)
Lineage: Eukaryota; Metazoa; Chordata; Aves; Passeriformes; Paridae
Description: lncRNA (ENSPMJG00000015086.1)
Source: RNAcentral